CCCGCAACCUCAUGGUUCCUAGUCGGAUUCGUUAACCACUGUGCCAUGACGGGAACUCCUAAUUUUAUCAUUUCUAAUGAAGAUCAUCAGAAGAAAAUUUUGAUUUUUUUAGCUCAUACAAUAAAUGUACAAAGAAAUGUAAUGGCUUAAUAGCUUCUAGAUACAUACAAGACUUCUAGCCUUUCUCAAAUCUCAAAUAUCUGUUUGAUCAUCAUUUCAAUGGCUAAUGAAUAGCUAGCUAUUACACAUUUGAACUAUAGACAAAAAUGUUAUCUGUUUUUACUAUGCACUAUAAUUUUCAAAGCAAUUUCUCACAUUCUUCCAUUUAAUUUUUAAAACAACUCUAAGAUGUAGGCAAGCCAAAUAUUAUUAUCCUAAUUGAUGUUGAGGCAAAACAGAUCCAGAGAAAUUGUGUGCUAGACUGUAUUUUGUCACUUGGAUUCAGAGAGGAACUGUAAGUCCUAGAAUCUACUCAUUUACAUAGGUAUGGGCUACAAUUGCCCAAAAUGGAACUUGCAUGAGAUGUGGGACACUGGAUAUUGCUCUCUAUAGGUCACUUUAAACAAUGUUGAUGGACAGGUGGAGAAGGUCUGGCGGCAAGUUGCAGCUUGUCUUUGUUCCCCUCUAUUGCAUGUCCGACUCUUCCUGACUGCCGACCCUGCUGGCCAACAGUCAGUCCAGAUAUUGCUACAUGUUUGGCUGCAGAACCCCAGAGACAAUAGCUACCCAGUAGCAACAGCUUCGCAGGACCUCUUACAAGCGUCCUCUUUAUAGCAAGCUCUUGAUCUGCAAUCUGCUGAUACUUUCUUGAAUCCCUGCUGGUGUGAUGGGUUGCCUGACACUGGAAUCCAACCCAUCUGACUCUCUCUGUUCCAUGAUGAUUUUUGGCCCACUUUCAUGAGUCACAGACCCAGCUGACAAAAUAUUUAUGGUAUAUGGAAACUGAGCACAAAUAAAAUAUAGAAUACAAUCUGAAGGUUAGUAUGAGACCAUACGACCAUACUCAGUUUCCCUGACUAUUCAGAUCAAUGUCAGGCCUCAUAAAAUUUUUAGUCCAAAAAAGAAGCCAAGGGUAAUAAAGUGACAUUCCAUCUCAAACAACAAGAAGACAGUAAGGUGUCGUCUACAAAGUCAGCAAAAACCAAGUCAGAGGAACUGUCAGGAACACCCACCUAUCAUAGAACACAGUCUAAGGCACCAGAUUUAAUGACUUUUUCUGGAUUCUGCUAAAAUGGAAUGAAAUGUAAGUCACAGAAAAGUGUUUCCCUGGUUACAUAUAUUCAAUAUUAAUUUAUUUUAAGGAUUAGUUGCACAAAACAUAAAUGAGAAUUAGAAGAAUGCAUGGGUAAGAGAAAAAAAGGCAGUGGCAGCAUGAUCAGAUAUAUAUUAUAUACAUACACAUGCAUAUUACAUAUGUAUAUAUAUAUAUAAAUAUAAAUAUUAGGCUUCUAUGGGAGAAGACAUGAUGGAAAGAAAAAUAAAUGAGACAGAAUAGCAACUUGAGAAAGGUCUACACAGUGGGCCUGCUACACCGUGCUAGUUAGUUGUAUGCUUUCAUAAAUGUAUAAAAGAGACGCUUUAACAUAAACAAUAGAGCCAAGACAGAGUUGCCCUAUAGCUUCUUCACUCCAUGUAGACAUAAACCAAAAUACUGCAAAGCUCUUCUAAAUAGAUCAUUCAACAAUUUCUUCUAAAACUCUACCCUCUCUCUUUACAUGUAGUGGAAGUAGUGGUGAAGUUGAACAUUUCUAUUAAGUUAGACUAAAAAACAACCCACUAUUACCAUCUCUUCCAGAUUAGGGAACAAUGUUAAUAAUAACCAUCAGUUAUUACUAUAAGAAUCACAUACCAUUUAGGCCUCAGGAAGAAGACAGUGUCUAGAUUGGAACCAAAUAAAGACAAAGAUGAUCUCUUUUACUCAAGAGUUGUCAGAAAUGACCUGAAUUAUUUGAGAGCUCAGAAUGUUCUGAUAUAUUAAAAAUAAUGCUCUGCCACAUCCAUAAACCCAAUUCAAACACACGGUUAAAUAUAGCAUAUACAUGUUAUUGUCUAAAAUAUCAAAUAUCUUAAUAUAUCUUUUAGGGGCGAGUGCCUUUUGGAUAAUAUACAUUUUACAUCUCUAUGAAGAGUUGGGAAGGACAGAUGUCACAUGAAGGAUGGAAUUACUACAUUUUGUUCACAAAUAUAGUGAGUAGUUUAUACUAUAUGCAAUAUUGAUUUUAUCUUAGCUAUCAAAUAUUACCCCAAAUAAAUCUGAGUUGCACACCAUAUUGAAAGUGGCAGUGGACAGUCUUUCCUAUGUAACACCUAGUCAUCCCAUUUCAAUUUCUAAAUUUAUAAUGAUUCAUUUUAGUUACAUUUCUUAGAGCUCUCUCUCAAUGAUCUGUGCAAUUUAGAAUUUAGAAUUCCAUCCCCACUCAGUAUUGAAAAAGAAGGCCAGAUGGUGGGAAAGUGGGGGUGGGGCAUGGGGAGCUGAGUAGCACAUUCACUGAGAGUGUGGCCCCUAUAGUUAGAGUGAGUGAAAUGGAUUAGUUCUGGCUAAUGGCCCUACCAGGGCCACACCCAGGCUAGGGGUCAAAUCAGAGCUGUAACUCCUGGCCUGUGCCACAGCCACACCAGAUUUGAGCCACAUCUAUGACCUACACCACAGCUCACAGAAAUGCUGGAUCCUUAACCCACUAAGUGAGGCCAGAGACUGAACCUGCAUUCUCAUGGAUGUUAGUCAGAUUCGUUUCUGCUGACCCACAACAGGAACUCUGAUAUUUAUUGUUUUUGACAUAGAGCUCUAUCUAUUUAGGUCUCUGAAAUAGAAUUACAUAUUUUUUUGUUUUGCUUUGGGUUUUUUUUUU
Molecule: non-coding RNA, 2849 nt
Organism: Sus scrofa (pig)
Lineage: Eukaryota; Metazoa; Chordata; Mammalia; Artiodactyla; Suidae
Source: RefSeq, a predicted model, not a curated record